Molecule: unclassified non-coding RNA, 392 nt
Filed under: soil metagenome
Description: partial contains 5.8S ribosomal RNA, internal transcribed spacer 2, and large subunit ribosomal RNA
Rfam family: 5.8S ribosomal RNA (bases 1-122)
Source: RNAcentral
GAUGAAGAACGUAGCGAAAUGCGAUACUUGGUGUGAAUUGCAGAAUCCCGUGAACCAUCGAGUCUUUGAACGCAAGUUGCGCCCGAAGCCAUUAGGCCGAGGGAACGCCUGCCUGGGCGUCACACGUCGUUGCCCCCCCCAUCUACUCCUUCGGGAUUGCGGGGGGCGGAUGAUGGCCUCCCGUGCGCCUCGCCGCGCGGUUGGCAUAAAUGCCAAGUCCUCGGCGAUGCACGCCACGACAAUCGGUGGUUGCGAAACCUCGGUUGCCCGUCGUGUGCGGUCGUCGCGCAUCGAGGGCUCGAAAAAAUUGCCGGGUUCCGGCUCGGCUUUCAACGCGACCCCAGGUCAGGCGGGGUUACCCGCUGAAUUUAAGCAUAUCAAUAAGCGGAGGA